RNAcentral lists this ribosomal RNA (250 nucleotides) under uncultured bacterium. RNAcentral's name for it is "partial 16S ribosomal RNA". It matches the Rfam family "Bacterial small subunit ribosomal RNA", at positions 524 to 773 of the family's 1533-position model. The record is from RNAcentral.
UACAGAGGGUGCGAGCGUUGUUCGGAAUUACUGGGCGUAAAGGGCGCGUAGGCGGCUUGACAAGUCUGUUGUGAAAGCCCGGGGCUUAACCUCGGAAGUGCAAUGGAAACUGUCAGGCUAGAGUGCAGUAGAGGAUGGUAGAAUACCCAGUGUAGAGGUGAAAUUCGUAGAUAUUGGGUGGAAUACCUGUGGCGAAGGCGGCCAUCUGGGCUGCAACUGACGCUGAGGCGCGAAAGCGUGGGGAUCAAAC